This 86-nucleotide transfer RNA is filed under the name Deltaproteobacteria bacterium. RNAcentral describes it as "tRNA-Ser". It matches the Rfam family "tRNA". Rfam says of the family: Transfer RNA (tRNA) molecules are approximately 80 nucleotides in length. Their secondary structure includes four short double-helical elements and three loops (D, anti-codon, and T loops). Lineage: Bacteria; Pseudomonadati; Myxococcota; Myxococcia. The record is from RNAcentral.
GGGGAGGUGGCCGAGUAGGUCGAAGGCGCACGCCUGCUAAGCGUGUAUACUUAACGGUAUCGAGGGUUCGAAUCCCUCCCUCUCCG